This 420-nucleotide ribosomal RNA is filed under the name bacterium. Its description in RNAcentral is "partial 16S ribosomal RNA". It matches the Rfam family "Bacterial small subunit ribosomal RNA", at positions 355 to 776 of the family's 1533-position model. The record is from RNAcentral.
UGGGGGAUAUUGCACAAUGGGCGAAAGCCUGAUGCAGCGACGCCGCGUGGGGGAUGAAGGCUUUCGGGUUGUAAACCUCUUUCGCUAUCGAACAAGGCCCGCUUAGGGUGGGUUGAGGGUAGGUGGAGAAGAAGCGCCGGCUAACUACGUGCCAGCAGCCGCGGUAAUACGUAGGGCGCGAGCGUUGUCCGGAAUUAUUGGGCGUAAAGGGCUUGUAGGCGGCUUGUUGCGCCUGCUGUGAAAACGCGGGGCUUAACUUCGCGCGUGCAGUGGGUACGGGCAGGCUUGAGUGUGGUAGGGGUGACUGGAAUUCCAGGUGUAGCGGUGGAAUGCGCAGAUAUCUGGAGGAACACCGAUGGCGAAGACAGGUCACUGGGCCAUUACUGACGCUGAGGAGCGAAAGCAUGGGUAGCGAACAGG